Molecule: ribosomal RNA, 497 nt
Filed under: uncultured bacterium
Lineage: Bacteria
Description: partial 16S ribosomal RNA
Rfam family: Bacterial small subunit ribosomal RNA
Source: RNAcentral
GAUGAACGCUGGCGGCGUGCCUAAUACAUGCAAGUCGAGCGAACAGAUGAGGAGCUUGCUCCUCUGACGUUAGCGGCGGACGGGUGAGUAACACGUGGAUAACCUACCUAUAAGACUGGGAUAACUUCGGGAAACCGGAGCUAAUACCGGAUAAUAUAUUGAACCGCAUGGUUCAAUAGUGAAAGACGGUUUUGCUGUCACUUAUAGAUGGCUCCGCGCCGCAUUAGCUAGUUGGUAAGGUAACGGCUUACCAAGGCAACGAUGCGUAGCCGACCUGAGAGGGUGAUCGGCCACACUGGAACUGAGACACGGUCCAGACUCCUACGGGAGGCAGCAGUAGGGAAUCUUCCGCAAUGGGCGAAAGCCUGACGGAGCAACGCCGCGUGAGUGAUGAAGGUCUUCGGAUCGUAAAACUCUGUUAUUAGGGAAGAACAAAUGUGUAAGUAACUAUGCACGUCUUGACGGUACCUAAUCAGAAAGCCACGGCUAACUACGUG